RNAcentral lists this ribosomal RNA (493 nucleotides) under uncultured bacterium. RNAcentral's name for it is "partial 16S ribosomal RNA". It matches the Rfam family "Bacterial small subunit ribosomal RNA", at positions 30 to 523 of the family's 1533-position model. The record is from RNAcentral.
AUUGAACGCUGGCGGCAUGCCUUACACAUGCAAGUCGAACGGUAACAGGUUAAGCUGACGAGUGGCGAACGGGUGAGUAAUAUAUCGGAACGUGCCCAGUCGUGGGGGAUAACGUAGCGAAAGCUACGCUAAUACCGCAUACGAUCUACGGAUGAAAGCGGGGGAUCGCAAGACCUCGCGCGAUUGGAGCGGCCGAUAUCAGAUUAGGUUGUUGGUGAGGUAAAAGCUCACCAAGCCUGGGAUCUGUAGCUGGUCUGAGAGGACGACCAGCCAAACUGGAACUGAGACACGGUCCAGACUCCGACGGGAGGCAGCAGUGGGGAAUUUUGGACAAUGGACGCAAGUCUGAUCCAGCAAUGCCGCGUGCAGGACGAAGGCCUUCGGGUUGUAAACUGCUUUUGUACGGAACGAAACGGUGAGCUCUAAUACAGUUUGCUAAUGACGGUACCGUAAGAAUAAGCACCGGCUAACUACGUGCCAGCCGCCGCCGUAA